RNAcentral lists this transfer RNA (86 nucleotides) under Plesiomonas shigelloides 302-73. It matches the Rfam family "tRNA". Rfam says of the family: Transfer RNA (tRNA) molecules are approximately 80 nucleotides in length. Lineage: Bacteria; Pseudomonadati; Pseudomonadota; Gammaproteobacteria; Enterobacterales; Enterobacteriaceae. The record is from Rfam by way of RNAcentral.
GCCGUGGUGGUGGAAUUGGUAGACACGCUACCUUGAGGUGGUAGUGCCCAUUUAGUGGCGUGCGGGUUCAAGUCCCGCCCUCGGCA